GCCGCAGUAGCUCAGUGGUAGAGCGCACCCUUGGUAAGGGUGAGGUCGAAAGUUCAAUCCUUUCCUGCGGCACCA
This 75-nucleotide transfer RNA is filed under the name Alphaproteobacteria bacterium. RNAcentral describes it as "tRNA-Thr". It matches the Rfam family "tRNA". From Rfam's summary of the family: Transfer RNA (tRNA) molecules are approximately 80 nucleotides in length. Lineage: Bacteria; Pseudomonadati; Pseudomonadota; Alphaproteobacteria. The record is from RNAcentral. RNAcentral also lists the same sequence under 2 other names.